RNAcentral lists this unclassified non-coding RNA (229 nucleotides) under uncultured fungus. RNAcentral's name for it is "sequence contains ITS1, 5.8S rRNA gene". The stretch from base 181 to 229 matches the Rfam family "5.8S ribosomal RNA", at positions 1 to 49 of the family's 154-position model. The record is from RNAcentral. Lineage: Eukaryota; Fungi.
UCUCCGUAGGUGAACCUGCGGAGGGAUCAUUACUGAGUGAGGGCUCACGCCCGACCUCCAACCCUUUGUGAACACAUCUUGUUGCUUCGGGGGCGACCCUGCCGGCACUCUGUCGCCGGGCGCCCCCGAAGGUCUCCAAACACUGCAUCUUUGCGUCGGAGUCUUAAUGAAUUUAAACAAAACUUUUAACAACGGAUCUCUUGGUUCUGGCAUCGAUGAAGAACGCAGC